This 265-nucleotide ribosomal RNA is filed under the name uncultured bacterium. RNAcentral describes it as "partial 16S ribosomal RNA". It matches the Rfam family "Bacterial small subunit ribosomal RNA", at positions 57 to 305 of the family's 1533-position model. The record is from RNAcentral.
GCAAGUCGAACGAGAAGCUUAUCAUUGAUCCUUCGGGUGAUUUGUUAAGUAGAAAGUGGCGAAAGGGUGAGUAACGCGUGAGCAACCUGCCUCUAUGUCGGGGACAACAGUUGGGAACGACUGCUAAUACCGGAUGUGGCUUCCAUAUCGCAUGUUUUGGAAGCUAAAGAUUUAUUGCAUAGAGAUGGGCUCGCGUACCAUUAGCUAGUUGGUGAGGUAACGGCUCACCAAGGCGACGAUGGUUAGGUGGUCUGAGAGGACGAUC